AUGAUUAGGAGUGUACCGAUUGGUGAGAAGCUCUUCAUAGGAGGAGACCUCAAUGGUCACGUGGGUACAUCUAACACAGGUUUUGAAGGGGCGCACGGGGGCUUUGGCUAUGGCAUCAGGAAUCAAGAAGGAGAAGAUGUCUUAAGCUUUGCUCUAGCCUACAACAUGAUUGUAGCUAACACCCUCUUUAGAAAGAGAGAAUCACAUCUGGUGACUUUUAGUAGUGGCCAACACUCUAGCCAGAUUGAUUUCAUCCUCUCGAGAAGAGAAGAUAGGCGUGCGUGCCUAGACUGUAAGGUGAUACCUGGAGAGAGUGUUGUACCACAGCAUAAGCUGGUGGUUGCUGACUUCCGCUUUCGGAUUCGUGUCCAGCGGGAUAAGCGUGCCAAAGUCGCUAGAACGAAGUGGUGGAAGCUCAAGGGGGUGGUAGCUCUAGCGUUCAAGGAGAGGGUCAUUAAGGAGGGCCCUUGGGAGGAAGGAGGAGACACUAGUAGAAAACGGAGCUUUAGCGCCGGUUCGUAA
RNAcentral lists this ribosomal RNA (522 nucleotides) under Triticum aestivum (bread wheat). RNAcentral's name for it is "partial small subunit ribosomal RNA". Lineage: Eukaryota; Viridiplantae; Streptophyta; Magnoliopsida; Poales; Poaceae. The record is from RNAcentral.